GUGAAUAGACGACGGCUGGCACGAAGCUGCAGCCGUCGUCAUGGAAAUCAAAUAAACAAGACGGCCCGCACAAAGGCUGCGGCCGGCUGAGAUAGGAUAAAAUAAUGAGAUAAUAAAUAAUAAAAUAAAAUAUAAAAUAUCGUGAAAAUUUUCAUGAUGACGGCUGCAGCUUCAUGCCAGCCGUCGUCUAUUCAC
Molecule: non-coding RNA, 195 nt
Organism: Pelobates cultripes (western spadefoot toad)
Lineage: Eukaryota; Metazoa; Chordata; Amphibia; Anura; Pelobatidae
Source: the annotation of a GenBank genome assembly